UUGUCCUUGCUGCAAUGGUGAGCAUUCAACGUAUGCCGGAACGUUAUGAACCCAAUGAGAGCUAGCUGGUUCUACGUGAAGGUGUUCACAAUACGGUGAAGUUUCUAGCAUCCAAGCUCACGGGCAAUAACAACAACACUUUCCUCAUCACUUUUGCACUGCUGAACUAAGGGCUACAGUUGUAUUCAAAUUUUGGUAUAGAAAUGAUGAGAAUCCUUGGACGAAAACAACUUAAUGCCACAUCCCUGAAGAGAUAAGCUUGACUCUCAUCCAUAUGUUCAAUCACCUCUAAACAAGUACCAAUAUUAAACCCAUGCAACCUGGAACCAAAAUUUGUAAUUGAACCUUCAUAAAGAAUAAAUGAUUUUAUGGGUUUACUUGUCGCACCAGCAUCUGGAUUGGGAGAUUGUUUCCUACUAUCUACUGCAACUCCUUCAAUGGCCAUGUCAUCAGUUUUAUCUUCUGCUUCAACUCCUUACUAUCUGCUAUAACUUCACUAACAUUCCCAGUUGGCUUGAUGAUCAUGUCAUCGGGAUUAUCUAGUGGUGGAGGUAAAUCAGGCAUGAUAACAUCUGCUUGGGAAUUUGGGAUAGUCGGUACUGUAUGUGCUCCAUCCAACAUAACACUUUCAGAUGCUGCAGCUUCAUUGUCGGGACAGGCUGUUGCAUGCUGCCUUACAGUAACUGGUCGGAUGUUACAACUCUAUUGUGCAGGCUAAUGCAAGUUAGUGUAGGAUGCUUACAAGGCAAUGUUAAGUGUUGGUUAACAUGAUGAUGAUGAUAUGGUGGUCUUGAUGUAAGCCAAACAUUACAAUAAGCAUAUCAAAGGGAGAACA
Lathyrus oleraceus (garden pea) is the source of this 835-nucleotide long non-coding RNA. RefSeq lists it as uncharacterized. NCBI's taxonomy places the organism in Eukaryota, Viridiplantae, Streptophyta, Magnoliopsida, Fabales, Fabaceae. The record is from RefSeq and is a predicted model, not a curated record. The transcript has 3 exons.